RNAcentral lists this small RNA (2138 nucleotides) under Malus domestica (apple). RNAcentral describes it as "sRNA MD09G0233100". The record is from RNAcentral. Lineage: Eukaryota; Viridiplantae; Streptophyta; Magnoliopsida; Rosales; Rosaceae.
UUCACCCCAUUGAUGUUAUAAUACAAUAAAUAUUGUUAAUUUGUUGGUGUUGACUCCCACACCAAAGUGCUAAAUAAUUGCCAUGAAAAUUAAUUGCCGUCAUAGGUAGGUCGUCGCUUAAGUCUUUUGUAAGGGUAAUUACAUACUACGUGAGAGUUUCUCUAUUGUCUCACUCAUGCAUUCAUUAUCUCCUCUUCUUGUGCUAAGAGAGUUGUUCUUCCCAUCCCCCUUCUCAUUAUUUGCUCCAUCUUCUUAUUGCACACACUUGUCUGGUUUUGUUUUUUCAUCACAGCAACCUUCUUUUGCUUAAUCUACUUUGCUUUACUUCUAAAAGUGAAAAAUCAAUUCUGUAAACCCAGAAGAACAAAAAAAAUAUUACAUUCUUUCAAUUUCGUUGUUUUUCUGUGUCUCUUGAUUUCAUUUUCUGCCAAUUUCAACUUCCGGUCGAUCAGUUUUACUUUAAAAGGAAAAAAAAUGGCAUACAUACUAUGUUCAGCUUCAUUUACGGACCGAUUGUACUUCGGCUUUCUGUAGGCAAAGGAGUCUGGAGAGAUAAGUUAUGCUGAGAUUCAAGUCCAUCAACUAUCAAAUCUGAGUCGUACACGUUGGCAAUGACACACUAUGAUGCUAUGAGAAUCGCUAAUACGAAAGUCAACCCUUUGGUCAAAGCGGCACCUUUAGGGUCCUAAACCCUAAAAUCUUUGAUCUAAAGUCUACGAACUUCAGGUACAUGAACGUAAGUUUUUACAAGUCACAUAUAGCACCAACAAUAAUAUAUUUAAAAUUCAUGACAAUUCAACUAUCGGAUUGCCACUGUUCACAAAAUGGAAUGGCGAUCAAUUACGGUUUUUCCGAUCAAGCAUUUGAAUCUGGGAAAACAAUCCUAGAAUUAGGUUCGUACUCUAUUUUUAGUUAAAUUUUAGCUAAAAAGGUUACAAAGCCAUUUUAGGAGCUCCAUAAAAAAUUUCUAAUAUAACAAUAGUCUCUAAUUUAGGGAGUCAUAAUAAAUAUGUACCCUUAAAAGCUUCUUUCUCACUUCUUAAAUUUAGGAGCUCCUAGCCAUUUUGCAAUCCUAUAAAUAUGAUAGGGAGUGUGAUUGGCGUUGGAAUUUUUUAAAGGGAAAUUAUGUUUGCACUAAACUUUUGUCUUUAGAUACCUUUCAAUUUUAUUUAAGGAAAAUUAAUGAAAAUGGCUUGAAAACUUUGAGUUUUAACGAUAAAAACAAAAUAAAGAGUAAAGUGAAUAGUACCAGGAUUGACUUUUUAGUGUAAAAAUGUAAUUUUUCGUUAAAGUGAACAACACCGGGAGCUUUUCGUUAAAGUUCCCAAAUGUAAAAUAAUACUUAUGCUCAUAUGUAAAAUUACUAUAAAGGACUUACUAGACUCUUUAACAUAAUCUUAAUUUCUUUGACACCCAAAUUGAAGAGCCACUAGGGUUUGUAUACAAAGAAAUAUGUCAUCAAGUACAACUUUUUUAAUUAUAUUUUUACAUUUUUCUUAGCAACGGAAAAGUAAACAUCUAACACUACGUUUGGAAAAGUAAACAUCUAACAUUAUGUUUAGAUGAAGAAAUCUAAGAUUACUACGAAAUUUUAAAAUGACUGAAAUUAAAAUUACGGGAUUUUGUUUUCUAAAAUUUGUGAAUUUUCUUGUUUGAUUAACAUAAAAGAACAAUGGAAUUAAAUACGGAAUUUGUUAGUUUGAAACUCUCAAUCAUAGAAAUUGAGAAAUUACGCAUAUUUACGUAUAAUUCAAAUUUGGGAAUUGGAGAUCCCAAAUUCCAAGUUUUUUUUUUUUUCACACGAAAAUUGUAAAUUUAUAUGUUUAUAAAUUCAAACAAGGAAAUUAGUGCAUGUCAAUUUAUAAAUUUUGAUUUUUACUCAAAUUUCAAGUUUAUUUCCCUCGUUCAAACAUAGUUGGAAUUUAAAUUUUCGUGAAUGUGCUUGUCCAUAAACAAAAGUUGGGUGUAAACAAAAUUUCUCUUUUCUAUAUUCUUCCUAAAUUUUAAGUUGGGACCUUAUUUAAAUAGCCCAUUUUAGAUGCUAUAGCAGCGGACUUAACGAUGUCUCCUCCCUCUUUAACCGGCUAAGAGAGUUUCAUUCAGCCUCUUUUGGACUUUAUGGAUUUAUGUUGUCUCAC